Molecule: ribosomal RNA, 862 nt
Filed under: uncultured bacterium
Lineage: Bacteria
Description: bacterial SSU rRNA
Rfam family: Bacterial small subunit ribosomal RNA
Source: RNAcentral
ACACAUGCAAGUCGAGGGGCAGCAUAAUGGAUAGCAAUAUCUAUGGUGGCGACCGGCGCACGGGUGCGUAACGCGUAUGCAACCUACCUUUAACAGGGGGAUAACACUGAGAAAUUGGUACUAAUACCCCAUAAUAUCAUAGAAGGCAUCUUUUAUGGUUGAAAAUUCCGAUGGUUAGAGAUGGGCAUGCGUUGUAUUAGCUAGUUGGUGGGGUAACGGCUCACCAAGGCGACGAUACAUAGGGGGACUGAGAGGUUAACCCCCCACACUGGUACUGAGACACGGACCAGACUCCUACGGGAGGCAGCAGUGAGGAAUAUUGGUCAAUGGACGCAAGUCUGAACCAGCCAUGCCGCGUGCAGGAUGACGGCUCUAUGAGUUGUAAACUGCUUUUGUACGAGGGUAAACGCAGAUACGUGUAUCUGUCUGAAAGUAUCGUACGAAUAAGGAUCGGCUAACUCCGUGCCAGCAGCCGCGGUAAUACGGAGGAUUCAAGCGUUAUCCGGAUUUAUUGGGUUUAAAGGGUGCGUAGGCGGUUUGAUAAGUUAGAGGUGAAAUUUCGGGGCUCAACCCUGAACGUGCCUCUAAUACUGUUGAGCUAGAGAGUAGUUGCGGUAGGCGGAAUGUAUGGUGUAGCGGUGAAAUGCUUAGAGAUCAUACAGAACACCGAUUGCGAAGGCAGCUUACCAAACUAUAUCUGACGUUGAGGCACGAAAGCGUGGGGAGCAAACAGGAUUAGAUACCCUGGUAGUCCACGCAGUAAACGAUGAUAACUCGUCGUCGGCGAUACACAGUCGGUGACUAAGCGAAAGCGAUAAGUUAUCCACCUGGGGUGUACGUUCGCAAGAAUGAAACUCAAAGG